Sorex fumeus (smoky shrew) is the source of this 107-nucleotide small nuclear RNA. NCBI's taxonomy places the organism in Eukaryota, Metazoa, Chordata, Mammalia, Eulipotyphla, Soricidae. The record is from RefSeq and is a predicted model, not a curated record.
GUGCUCACUUCUGCAGCACAUAUACCAAAAUUGGAAUGCUAGAGAGAAUAUUGGCAUGGCUUCUGCACAAGGAUGACAUGCAAAUUCAUGACGCAUUCCAUAUUUUU